GACGAACGCUGGCGGCGUGCUUAACACAUGCAAGUCGAACGGAAAGGCCCUGCUUUUGUGGGGUGCUCGAGUGGCGAACGGGUGAGUAACACGUGAGUAACCUGCCCUUGACUUUGGGAUAACUUCAGGAAACUGGGGCUAAUACCGGAUAGGAGCUCCUGCUGCAUGGUGGGGGUUGGAAAGUUUCGGCGGUUGGGGAUGGACUCGCGGCUUAUCAGCUUGUUGGUUGGGUAGUGGCUUACCAAGGCUUUGACGGGUAGCCGGCCUGAGAGGGUGACCGGCCACAUUGGGAAUGAGAUACGGCCCAGACUCCUACGGGAGGCAGCAGUGGGGAAUAUUGCACAAUGGGCGGAAGCCUGAUGCAGCAACGCCGCGUGCGGGAUGACGGCCUUCGGGUUGUAAACCGCUUUCGCCUGUGACGAAGCGUGAGUGACGGUAAUGGGUAAAGAAGCACCGGCUAACUACGUG
RNAcentral lists this ribosomal RNA (468 nucleotides) under uncultured bacterium. Its description in RNAcentral is "partial 16S ribosomal RNA". It matches the Rfam family "Bacterial small subunit ribosomal RNA", at positions 28 to 507 of the family's 1533-position model. The record is from RNAcentral.